This 1447-nucleotide ribosomal RNA is filed under the name uncultured organism. RNAcentral's name for it is "16S ribosomal RNA". It matches the Rfam family "Bacterial small subunit ribosomal RNA". The record is from RNAcentral.
CAGGCUUAACACAUGCAAGUCGAGGGGCAUCAGGAAGAAAGCUUGCUUUCUUUGCUGGCGACCGGCGCACGGGUGAGUAACACGUAUCCAACCUGCCCUUUACUCGGGGAUAGCCUUUCGAAAGAAAGAUUAAUACCCGAUAGUAUAAUGAUUCCGCAUGGUUUCAUUAUUAAAGGAUUCCGGUAAAGGAUGGGGAUGCGUUCCAUUAGGUUGUUGGUGAGGUAACGGCCCACCAAGCCUUCGAUGGAUAGGGGUUCUGAGAGGAAGGUCCCCCACAUUGGAACUGAGACACGGUCCAAACUCCUACGGGAGGCAGCAGUGAGGAAUAUUGGUCAAUGGGCGCUAGCCUGAACCAGCCAAGUAGCGUGAAGGAUGAAGGCUCUAUGGGUCGUAAACUUCUUUUAUAUAAGAAUAAAGUGCAGUAUGUAUACUGUUUUGUAUGUAUUAUAUGAAUAAGGAUCGGCUAACUCCGUGCCAGCAGCCGCGGUAAUACGGAGGAUCCGAGCGUUAUCCGGAUUUAUUGGGUUUAAAGGGAGCGUAGGUGGACUGGUAAGUCAGUUGUGAAAGUUUGCGGCUCAACCGUAAAAUUGCAGUUGAUACUGUCAGUCUUGAGUACAGUAGAGGUGGGCGGAAUUCGUGGUGUAGCGGUGAAAUGCUUAGAUAUCACGAAGAACUCCGAUUGCGAAGGCAGCUCACUGGACUGCAACUGACACUGAUGCUCGAAAGUGUGGGUAUCAAACAGGAUUAGAUACCCUGGUAGUCCACACAGUAAACGAUGAAUACUCGCUGUUUGCGAUAUACAGUAAGCGGCCAAGCGAAAGCAUUAAGUAUUCCACCUGGGGAGUACGCCGGCAACGGUGAAACUCAAAGGAAUUGACGGGGGCCCGCACAAGCGGAGGAACAUGUGGUUUAAUUCGAUGAUACGCGAGGAACCUUACCCGGGCUUAAAUUGCAGUGGAAUGAUGUGGAAACAUGUCAGUGAGCAAUCACCGCUGUGAAGGUGCUGCAUGGUUGUCGUCAGCUCGUGCCGUGAGGUGUCGGCUUAAGUGCCAUAACGAGCGCAACCCUUAUCUUUAGUUACUAACAGGUUAUGCUGAGGACUCUAGAGAGACUGCCGUCGUAAGAUGUGAGGAAGGUGGGGAUGACGUCAAAUCAGCACGGCCCUUACGUCCGGGGCUACACACGUGUUACAAUGGGGGGUACAGAAGGCAGCUAGCGGGUGACCGUAUGCUAAUCCCAAAAGCCUCUCUCAGUUCGGAUCGAAGUCUGCAACCCGACUUCGUGAAGCUGGAUUCGCUAGUAAUCGCGCAUCAGCCACGGCGCGGUGAAUACGUUCCCGGGCCUUGUACACACCGCCCGUCAAGCCAUGGGAGCCGGGGGUACCUGAAGUACGUAACCGCAAGGAUCGUCCUAGGGUAAAACUGGUGACUGGGGCUAAGUCAUAACA